GUCUAGUGUUGCUUGGAUUCUUCAACUUCAAGAUGGAACAACCAAUAUUUUAGGUCUUCAAACCGUCAUAGGGGCGUUUCCUCCCUUCGUAUGGAGUUGCAUAUAUUUUUAUUGGUUGGGUCAAGCACAAAUAAGGAUCAUUUUAUUUUUUUUCGAAUAAGGAUCAUUAUUACUUCUCUCGUUUGUUACAAUUUCAAUAAAUUACUGCAAAGAGUAAAACAACCAUCUCCAAGGGCCUUCUCUUCCGAGUUGCA
This is a long non-coding RNA of Arabidopsis thaliana (thale cress), 254 nucleotides long. RefSeq annotates it as other RNA. The record is from RefSeq. Lineage: Eukaryota; Viridiplantae; Streptophyta; Magnoliopsida; Brassicales; Brassicaceae. The transcript has a single exon.